GGCUGGUCUGAAAGUAGUACAUUAUCUCAACUGAGUGUUCACAUUCAGUUACAGACCAAACUCCUUAUUCUACUCUUUUCUCCCCUUCUCACUACUGCACUUGACUAAUAUCAA
RNAcentral lists this Y RNA (114 nucleotides) under Saimiri boliviensis boliviensis (Bolivian squirrel monkey). Its description in RNAcentral is "Y RNA (ENSSBOG00000001896.1)". It matches the Rfam family "Y RNA". Rfam says of the family: Y RNAs are components of the Ro ribonucleoprotein particle (Ro RNP), in association with Ro60 and La proteins. The Y RNAs and Ro60 and La proteins are well conserved, but the function of the Ro RNP is not known. The record is from RNAcentral. Lineage: Eukaryota; Metazoa; Chordata; Mammalia; Primates; Cebidae.